UUAUAUCUCUGUGAUUAUUUACUGUUUUUGUUGUUUAAAAGUUGUUAGGUGUAGCUUGUUAUGUGGUCUUUAAACUCCAAAAGGAAUCAGGUCUAUAUCUAUUGUAGAUCGGGAUUUAUAAGCGGUCAAAGUGGGUUGACCGGCAUUGACCGGCUGUUUUUCAAACCCAGAAAAUAUUCUAAGUGUCCAGAAAAUAUUAUUUUGGAAAAUGUCAGGCCUUAUAUCUCGGUUAUCUUUAAUGUGUUUUGUGUUCUAAAGGUUGAUAUGUGUAGCUUGUUAUGUGGUAUUUAACCUCCAAAAAGAAUCAGGUCCAUAUAUAUUACGGAUUAAGAGUUAUUUAAGGUCAAAGUGGGUUGACCGGCAUUGACCAGAAAAUUCUGGGCAGCCCAGAAUUUUCUAAGUGUUAAUUUUUCUGACAAGGUUUGACCAUACUUUAGAUGCUUGAUUUCUUGUUUUUAUGAUGAUGUUAAGUGUUAGAGUUGUAGUCCUACAUGUUGUCU
Molecule: long non-coding RNA, 500 nt
Filed under: Panax ginseng (ginseng)
Lineage: Eukaryota; Viridiplantae; Streptophyta; Magnoliopsida; Apiales; Araliaceae
Description: long non-coding RNA (PGIN_LNC000124)
Source: RNAcentral